GCGGACGUGGCGGAACGGUAGACGCUGGAGACUUAAAAUUUCCUGGGGUAACCCGUGCAGGUUCGACUCCUGCCGUCCGCACCA
Molecule: transfer RNA, 84 nt
Filed under: Xanthobacteraceae bacterium
Lineage: Bacteria; Pseudomonadati; Pseudomonadota; Alphaproteobacteria; Hyphomicrobiales; Xanthobacteraceae
Description: tRNA-Leu
Rfam family: tRNA
About the family: Transfer RNA (tRNA) molecules are approximately 80 nucleotides in length.
Source: RNAcentral